GCGCGGGGCAACCUGGCGGCGAGCGGCGAACGGGUGAGUAAUGCAUCGGAACAUGUCCAUGUCGUGGGGGAUAGCCCGGCGAAAGCCGGAUUAAUACCGCAUACGCCCGAGAGGGGAAAGUGGGGGACCGCAAGGCCUCACGCGAUUGGGUUGGCCGAUGUCCGAUUAGCUAGUUGGCGGGGUAAGAGCCCACCAAGGCGAUGAUCGGUAGCUGGUCUGAGAGGAUGAUCAGCCACACUGGGACUGAGACACGGCCCAGACUCCUACGGGAGGCAGCAGUGGGGAAUUUUGGACAAUGGGGGCAACCCUGAUCCAGCCAUUCCGCGUGAGUGAAGAAGGCCUUCGGGUUGUAAAGCUCUUUUGUCCGGAACGAAACGGUUACGGUGAAUACCCGUGACUACUGACGGUACCGGAAGAAUAAGCACCGGCUAACUACGUGCCAGCAGCCGCGGUAAUACGUAGGGUGCGAGCGUUAAUCGGAAUUACUGGGCGUAAAGCGUGCGCAGGCGGUUUUGUAAGCCAGAUGUGAAAUCCCCGGGCUUAACCUGGGAAUGGCAUUUGGGACUGCAAGGCUGGAGUGUGGCAGAGGAGACUGGAAUUCCUGGUGUAGCAGUGAAAUGCGUAGAUAUCAGGAGGAAUACCGAUGGCGAAGGCAGGUCUCUGGGCUGACACUGACGCUCAUGCACGAAAGCGUGGGGAGCAAACAGGAUUAGAUACCCUGGUAGUCCACGCCCUAAACGAUGUCGACUGGUUGUUGGGGGUUUGACACUCUCAGUAACGAAGCUAACGCGUGAAGUC
Molecule: ribosomal RNA, 798 nt
Filed under: uncultured beta proteobacterium
Lineage: Bacteria; Pseudomonadati; Pseudomonadota; Betaproteobacteria
Description: bacterial SSU rRNA
Rfam family: Bacterial small subunit ribosomal RNA
Source: RNAcentral